Long non-coding RNA from Trifolium pratense (red clover), 842 nucleotides. RefSeq lists it as uncharacterized. The record is from RefSeq and is a predicted model, not a curated record. The transcript is spliced from 3 exons. Lineage: Eukaryota; Viridiplantae; Streptophyta; Magnoliopsida; Fabales; Fabaceae.
CUAUUUCUUCAUGAUUAGUGUUUUUCUUUGACAAACAUUUCAGAAUUGCUUUCUGUUCUUGAUGUAUAUGCAAUGUGUAGUUUGCUCUUUCAUCCCAAAAUAGUGGUAGUUACGGCUCCGUUACCUCCGCCGGUUUCCUCAAUGUGGUUCUCUGGUUUAAUUUUCUGCUACUGAUUUGCAUUUAUCCUGGUUUAUUUCUAAUAGCAUUUUUGUCUAUAAUAUGAUCUGUUCCUACAAGGCAGUAGCAGGGUGCUUCGGUUCUGGAGUUUGAAUUUUGGUACAGUUGUGUUAUGCUCAUCACAAGUCAGCUUGUAUUGAGCUUCUGUUUGACACAGUGGGGAGUCUCUUUGUGCCUACAUUUGUGUUGGUUAUCCCCUAAUCACUGAUGCUCAUAAUGCUCUCCACGAGAAGGAAAUUCCCCCAAAACAGGGGUUUUGACCUUGCUCUUGCCACUGCACCGCAUCGCCGUUAUUAUGCGAACCGACUUCAUGAUUCCCUCUCAUAAGGAGUUCAUGAUGAACCGACAAGAUCGAGAUGUGCUCACAUGGCUGGCUAGGUCAAGUUAGCAGGGUGCUUCGGUGUGGUGUUUGAAUUUUGUUUGAUACAGUGGGGAGUUUGUGCCUACAUUUGUGUUGGUUAUCCCCUGAUCACUGAUGCUCAUAAUGCUCUCCACGAGAAGGUAUGAAUUAUAUGGUAUAUGACAGUGACAGUGGCAUUCUUUGAUUUUAAAAUUUCGGUGAUGUAUUAUGGUUGAGAUUGAAUAUUAUUGUAUUUGGGUUUCCAAAUCUGAUGUUUCAUUUUUUCGUUUAUUAUGUUUGGUAUUAUCCCAAACCACUAGAAGU